Molecule: ribosomal RNA, 151 nt
Filed under: Gammaproteobacteria bacterium
Lineage: Bacteria; Pseudomonadati; Pseudomonadota; Gammaproteobacteria
Description: partial 23S ribosomal RNA
Rfam family: Bacterial large subunit ribosomal RNA
Source: RNAcentral
GGAAGCCUCUCCCAAGAUUAGAUCUCCCAUAGACUUCGGUCUACUAAAGAGUCGUCAUAGACUAUGACGUUGAUAGGCAAGAUGUGUAAGCACUGUGAAGUGUUGAGCUAACUUGUACUAAUAACUCGUGAGGCUUGAUCAUGUAACCUUA